UUCUGGUUGAUCCCGCCGGACCUGACUGCUAUCGGAUUGAUACUAAGCCAUGCGAGUCGUUGUAGCAAUACAAGGCAUACGGCUCAGUAACGCGUAGUCAACCUAACCUAUGGACGGGAAUAACCUCGGGAAACUGAGAAUAAUGCCCGAUAGAACAUUAUGCCUGGAAUGGUUUAUGUUCCAAAUGAUUUAUCGCCAUAGGAUGGGACUGCGGCCUAUCAGUUUGUUGGUGAGGUAAUGGCCCACCAAGACUAUUACAGGUACGGGCUCUGAGAGGAGUAGCCCGGAGAUGGGUACUGAGACACGGACCCAGGCCCUAUGGGGCGCAGCAGGCGAGAAAACUUUGCAAUGUGCGAAAGCACGACAAGGUUAAUCCGAGUGAUUUCUGCUAAAGAGAUCUUUUGUUAGUCCUAGAAACACUAACGAAUAAGGGGUGGGCAAGUUCUGGUGUCAGCCGCCGCGGUAAAACCAGCACCUCAAGUGGUCAGGAUGAUUAUUGGGCCUAAAGCAUCCGUAGCCGGCUCUGUAAGUUUUCGGUUAAAUCUGUACGCUCAACGUACAGGCUGCCGGAAAUACUGCAGAACUAGGGAGUGGGAGAGGUAGACGGUACUCGGUAGGAAGUGGUAAAAUGCUUUGAUCUAUCGAUGACCACCUGUGGCGAAGGCGGUCUACCAGAACACGUCCGACGGUGAGGGAUGAAAGCUAGGGGAGCAAACCGGAUUAGAUACCCGGGUAGUCCCAGCUGUAAACUAUGCAAACUCAGUGAUGCAUUGGCUUGUGGCCAAUGCAGUGCUGCAGGGAAGCCGUUAAGUUUGCCGCCUGGGAAGUACGUACGCAAGUAUGAAACUUAAAG
RNAcentral lists this ribosomal RNA (853 nucleotides) under uncultured archaeon. RNAcentral's name for it is "bacterial SSU rRNA". It matches the Rfam family "Archaeal small subunit ribosomal RNA", at positions 1 to 861 of the family's 1478-position model. The record is from RNAcentral.